This 201-nucleotide ribosomal RNA is filed under the name uncultured bacterium. RNAcentral describes it as "partial 16S ribosomal RNA". It matches the Rfam family "Bacterial small subunit ribosomal RNA", at positions 524 to 722 of the family's 1533-position model. The record is from RNAcentral.
UACGUAGGGCGCAAGCGUUAUCCGGAAUUAUUGGGCGUAAAGAGCUCGUAGGCGGUUUGUCGCGUCUGCCGUGAAAGUCCCGGGGGCUCAACUCCGGAUCUGCGGUGGGUACGGGCAGACUAGAGUGAUGUAGGGGAGACUGGAAUUCCUGGUGUAGCGGUGAAAUGCGCAGAUAUCAGGAGGAACACCGAUGGCGAAGGC